Molecule: long non-coding RNA, 315 nt
Filed under: Gallus gallus (chicken)
Lineage: Eukaryota; Metazoa; Chordata; Aves; Galliformes; Phasianidae
Source: RNAcentral
UCUCAACCAGUUUAUCCUCAUAUGGAGGUCAGCCAGGGAGCAGGGUGCUGUAACUGUAGACAUUCACACCAUUGGUGCUUUGUCCUCCAUUCCACCACCACUGGGUCCAAAUCCGCACCACAUCUGAAGACUCUCAGAGUCUCCAGAUUUGGGGCUUCACCAAAACGCCAUUAUUUCCUGACUUCUGAGGGCCAGCAGUGAGGUUGAAGUCCUGCUCUCCACACAGAAGUCCCGCACGCGUGGGCUGAGCUGCGGUGCUUCCCAUCCCCAUCCCAUCGCCGGGAGCUGCGCUCACAUCCUAAACACCCCGCGAGG